AUUUACAUAAUAUAAAAAUUAUAGUUGACUUCCAAUCAGAAAAUCUAGUUUCCCCCUAGUGUAAAUA
RNAcentral lists this transfer RNA (67 nucleotides) under Agrianome spinicollis. RNAcentral describes it as "tRNA-Gly". Lineage: Eukaryota; Metazoa; Arthropoda; Insecta; Coleoptera; Cerambycidae. The record is from RNAcentral.